AUGGGCAAUAAUUUAUGGUUUUUGUUAGGAUGCUUAUUUUUGGAAUGUUGUAUGGUACACAUGAAUGAAACUGGGGCUGGUCAUUGUGUAACAUCACAACUGAAGUACACUGAACCCACAAGGCAGCUUUCGUUCAUAUUUAAUGCUGUAUUUAAUAUAUUAAACUUGGCACCCAAACAGUACUUGCAACAGCAUAUGUACACAGUAAGUACAUUUCUUUUGGAACAUCGGCACAGUUUAGUUGGCAGAGUGGCUGUGUCAAGAAAAUUUAUCAUAGCGCUUAGAAUGAUACAAAUAAAUAGAUAG
Molecule: ribosomal RNA, 306 nt
Filed under: Triticum aestivum (bread wheat)
Lineage: Eukaryota; Viridiplantae; Streptophyta; Magnoliopsida; Poales; Poaceae
Description: partial small subunit ribosomal RNA
Source: RNAcentral